GCCUUUAUAGUUUAAUCGGUUUAAAACUCAUAUUUCAUACGUAUGUAACGAAGGUUCGAAUCCUCCUAUAGGCU
RNAcentral lists this transfer RNA (74 nucleotides) under Clonostachys rosea f. rosea IK726. It matches the Rfam family "tRNA". From Rfam's summary of the family: Transfer RNA (tRNA) molecules are approximately 80 nucleotides in length. Their secondary structure includes four short double-helical elements and three loops (D, anti-codon, and T loops). Lineage: Eukaryota; Fungi; Ascomycota; Sordariomycetes; Hypocreales; Bionectriaceae. The record is from RNAcentral.